Molecule: ribosomal RNA, 192 nt
Filed under: uncultured Acidovorax sp.
Lineage: Bacteria; Pseudomonadati; Pseudomonadota; Betaproteobacteria; Burkholderiales; Comamonadaceae
Description: partial 16S ribosomal RNA
Rfam family: Bacterial small subunit ribosomal RNA
Source: RNAcentral
CCUCAUGGCCCUUAUAGGUGGGGCUACACACGUCAUACAAUGGAUGGUACAAAGGGUCGCCAACCCGCGAGGGGGAGCCAAUCCCAUAAAGCCAUUCGUAGUCCGGAUCGCAGUCUGCAACUCGACUGCGUGAAGUCGGAAUCGCUAGUAAUCGUGGAUCAGAAUGUCACGGUGAAUACGUUCCCGGGUCUU